GACGAACGCUGGCGGCGUGCUUAACACAUGCGAGUCGAACGGAAAGGCCCUGCUUUUGUGGGGUGCUCGAGUGGCGAACGGGUGAGUAACACGUGAGUAACCUGCCCUUGACUUUGGGAUAACUUCAGGAAACUGGGGCUAAUACCGGAGAGGAGCUCCUGCUGCAUGGGGGGGGUUGGAAAGUUUCGGCGGUUGGGGAUGGACUCGCGGCUUAUCAGCUGGUUGGUGUGGUAGUGGCUUACCAAGGCUUUGACGGGUAGCCGGCCUGAGAGGGUGACCGGCCACAUUGGGACUGAGAUACGGCCCAGACUCCUACGGGAGGCAGCAGUGGGGAAUAUUGCACAAUGGGCGGAAGCCUGAUGCAGCAACGCCGCGUGCGGGAUGACGGCCUUCGGGUUGUAAACCGCUUUCGCCUGUGACGAAGCGUGAGUGACGGUAAUGGGUAAAGAAGCACCGGCUAACUACGUG
Molecule: ribosomal RNA, 468 nt
Filed under: uncultured bacterium
Lineage: Bacteria
Description: partial 16S ribosomal RNA
Rfam family: Bacterial small subunit ribosomal RNA
Source: RNAcentral